This 250-nucleotide ribosomal RNA is filed under the name uncultured bacterium. RNAcentral's name for it is "partial 16S ribosomal RNA". It matches the Rfam family "Bacterial small subunit ribosomal RNA", at positions 57 to 305 of the family's 1533-position model. The record is from RNAcentral.
GCAAGUCGAACGAUGAAGCUCUUGCUUGCAAGAGAGGAUUAGUGGCGAACGGGUGAGUAAUAUAUAGCUAACCUGCCCCUUGGAGAGGGACAACAGUUGGAAACGACUGCUAAUACCUCAUACUGCUUUUUAUCAUAUGAUAAAUCGGGAAAGGUUCCGACGCCAAGGGAUGGGGCUGUAUGGUAUCAGCUUGUUGGUAGGGUAAAGGCCUACCAAGGCUAUGACACCUAGCUGGUUUGAGAGGAUGAUC